AUUGUAACGUGUGCUUUGGACCUCAUUAAUUUCACUUCAAUUUAACCCUUCCGCUGUUCCAUCUCUGAUAAUUGAAAUGGUGUUAAUUAUGAAGCGAUCUACCGUUCAGCGGUACGUGCGUCGUGGUAAUCAGAUGCCCCGCACCAAACUGUCGGAAGGUCGGCAACUCCGGGACGUUGCUGUCCCUCCAGCCGGGGUGCACCGAUGAAGCCGGGACAUUAUGGAUUUCAGUUUUUAUUUAUUUCCAAAAUGAAACUCCACCCUGCUAUAUCGAGAGAUACCGGCCACAUGACAGAUGCACUGCCACCUGGCUGUUCGGAGGACACACCACAUGCCAAUCAACAUUUGGUGCACUGCCACCUGGCGGAUCGGAGGACACAUCACAUGCCAAUCAACAUUUGGUGCACUGCCACCUGGCGGGUCGGAGGACACACCACAUGCCAAUCACCAUUUGGUGCACUGCCACCUGGCGUUCGGAGGACACACCACAUGCCAAUCACCAUUUUGUGCACUGCCACCUGGCGGGUGGGAGGACACACCACAUGCCAAUCACCAUUUGGUGCACUGCCACCUGGCGGGUCGGAGGACACACCACAUGCCCAUCAACAUUUGGUGCACUGCCACCUGGCGGGUCGGAGGACUCACCACAUGCCAAUCAACAUUUGGUGCACUGCCACCUGGCUGUUCGGAGGACACACCACAUGCCAAUCAACAUUUGCUGCACUGCCACCUGGCUGUUCGGAGGACACACCACAUGCCAAUCAACAUUUGUUGCACUGCCACCUGGCUGUUCGGAGGACACACCACAUGCCAAUCAACAUUUGGUGCACUGCCAGCUGGCUGGUCGGAGGACACAGCACAUGCCCAUGAACAUUUGGACCCUCCCAACUAAUCAAUGCACACCUAAAUUAUUGUUCACCUUAAUUGGAUUAUCUCGCCCAGCCCCAUGCUAUACAAGGUGAGACUUGUCCUUGGCUCGCUCUCUCUUACAGACCACCUCAUUGCAGGUAAGAGCAUUGAUUUAUGUUUGGGAAGGUCUAUCGUUUGUCCUGGUAAGGGAGCCGCGGCUAUCCAAGGUCAAGGGGGAUAGCUAUCGUAGUGUUUUUCCCUUGUUCUUUGUGUAACCGUACCCUGUCCCCACACCGCUUCCUGUGUAUUGUAGUUGCUUGUCUUGACCCGACUUCCCCUUGUAAAUAAAUCCCUUAUUAUUAAAACUGUGUGUGUCCAGGCCUCUACUGUUGAGACUCAAAGAACCAGUUAUUUUCCAUCACAACCCCUGCAUAGCGUUGGAAGAAUGGUGGGUAUUCAGAUAGUUGCAACUGAAGAUAAUUCUGUGUUGAUGCUUUUUUUUUCCUGAAAACUUCUUACAGUCAAUUUAACGGCGAUCGUGAUCCUAUCUCGGGGGAAAAUGCGGACUCUCCAAAUGCAUCACCCGUUACCAUGCUGGAAUGGCGACAGCGGAUCUGAUGGUGGUUCUCCGUUUCGCUUUGGUGGAUCAGACUAACAAAAUCUGCAUUUAUUCCAGAUCCCUGCUCCUCACUCCUGUAUGCCCUCUGGCUCUUGUAUUUCACGUUGUCACCGGGGACUGUUCUGUUUGGUUUACAGUCAGUUUUACUUUCGAUCGUUUCAUCGCGAUAAACCGGAAUCCUCGGGAACGAUACUGCACUGAGAGAACAGCAAGAGUCGUCAUGGUGACUGUUGUUAUAGUGAGCUGCGGGAGAUGUGUCCCGUUUAACUUUGCUGUUGAACCUUACGUCAUCACUGACAACACGUCGUGGCGGUGCGCCCCCGUGUGGAGAGGAAACGAAGUGUUGGACCGCAUUUUAACACUGUUGCUACCUAUCGGCUUAAUUCUGGUGUUCAAUGCGUUAACAGUGAGACCUAUCAUUGUGGCAAAUAGAGUCCGCAGAGGUCUUCGGAACAGCAGUGAAAAUCAGCAGGAUACCGAGAGAGAAAACCGCAGAAAAUCGAUGAUUUUGUUGUUUGCUGUAUCAGCUAAAUUCAUUUUAUUUUGGAUACCCUAUGCAGGUCAUUCCUUGAAAUAGCAAACGGAAAACUAUUUGUAUCAGGACAGAUAUUUGAAUUCCCCGGUAUAUACACUACAACAACUUGGGUUCAUGUUGCAAAUUCUGAAUAUGUGCACCAAUACUAGUAUCUACACACUGACACAGAGGAAAUUCGGAAAGGAACUGAAGAAUGGAAUGAAGGAAUAAGUGGUGAAAUUUGACGAGCUGUGUCGAUAGGAUUGUCUUUGUUCGGGGAACGGAAAAGCGGUACUGUGGACGAUACCGAGAUUCCUCGAUGGUGUGCGGUCGUUAUCGUCACCAGGAUAUCGGCGGACAAGGUCGAAUAUCUACACAAAAAGCGGUUAGAUCUUGUCUUCGGUCUUUGUUUCACCGCAGUUGACCUUGUAGCAAUCACUAUUCUCUGCCGAGGAAAU
Hypanus sabinus (Atlantic stingray) is the source of this 2440-nucleotide long non-coding RNA. RefSeq lists it as uncharacterized. NCBI's taxonomy places the organism in Eukaryota, Metazoa, Chordata, Chondrichthyes, Myliobatiformes, Dasyatidae. The transcript is spliced from 3 exons. The record is from RefSeq and is a predicted model, not a curated record.